This is a long non-coding RNA of Mastomys coucha (southern multimammate mouse), 2702 nucleotides long. RefSeq lists it as uncharacterized. NCBI's taxonomy places the organism in Eukaryota, Metazoa, Chordata, Mammalia, Rodentia, Muridae. The transcript is spliced from 6 exons. The record is from RefSeq and is a predicted model, not a curated record.
GCAGUGAGGUUGUUUACCACAAACGCACACCGGAAACCGGAGCCAUCUUGCAGCUACCCGAUCGGCUGCCUACAUCCCGAGAUGUACUGAAGUUCAUGUAAAUGUCCCAGGUCCUACAGUAGCCAAGAGCUGUGUUGAAGCUCAGGGCCCAAGUUACCACCAAAGGCCAUGAUGAUGUUCUUGGUCCGUGCCACCAUCUGAGGCCAUUUUGAUGUCAUAUGAGCCAUGUUCCACCGUAGCCAGGAGACAUGUUGAUGCCUGUAGCCGGUUAUGGUCUGUGCCUCUGCUUGAAGCCAUAUUGAGGUUCACGGUCCAUGCUGCCGCCGAGAGGCAUGUCUGGGUCCAUGGUCCUACUGUACCUAGGGGCCUAGGGGUCCUUGGUCUGUACUGCCACCAGAGACCAUGCUGAGGUCUGCGGUACAUACUGAGGCUGGAGACCAUGUGAAAGUCUGUGAACCAUGCUCCCACUGUAAAGGCCAAGAAAGCUGCUACUUUGUGGUGUGGGAUUGAUGAUUGCAGAUUCACAGCAGAGAAACAGGGCCAUAGAAGGUUUCUGUGACAACUCCUAUUCCCACCUCCAGCCCCCAAAAGUAACAGCCUAGACGGAAAACCAUCAAAGAGAGCUCUUAAAAUAGUGUCCAGGAGCAAUAAAGAAAAAUGAAGUUGGAAACAUUUACAAGAAAUGGAUGGAUCUGGAAUUACAUGAAAUGAAGCAUCCUCGUCUUAAGGAGACAGAUCCGGCAUGUUCUCUCUAAUGUAAACUGUAAUUUACAUGCUUAUGAAGGUCCUUUGUGUAUUUAUUAUGGCUUCCAGCUUAACGUUUUUAUGGGAUUUCAGAGUGCGCCUCCUUUAUGAGUUGGCCCUGAGAAAUUUCCAGCACACAGCUCUCAGCUCUCAAGCCUGAGCUGUUGCCCUGGUGGAUCGUCUUGGAGUGUGCAUUCAGUAAUCCAUCCCUGUCUGGCUGAGAUCGUUUAUAACUCUGUGAAUGCAAAUCCCACAGACAUGAGGGCUGACCUUUUAUGCCUUUAUAUACAUUUGUGGCUCCUACUAAAGGAAAGUCCAAGAAUCCAGUAGUUUGCUCAGUCCACGAAGCUGGAUGUCUCAGCUGGCCUUCAGUAGACGCUGGAAUCCUGAAGAGGUAGGCUCAAAUGCCAGUGAAGGCUAGAGCAAGCGGGCAAAGAGCAAAAGCUUCCUUCUUCCAUGUCUACAUAGGCUUCCAGCAGAAGGCAUGGCCCAGAUCAGAGGUUACAGAGGCAACUCUAGGGGAAACAGGAAGCGAAGGCAAUGCCUGGACUGGCUCUGCCUGAGCAUUUCUAUUGGAGGACUAGGAGUGGUGUUCUGGACCCUGCUACCUUGUCAAGAAUGUAGCUGAGGCUCCUGCAUUCUCCAGGAUUCUCUCCCUGCAGGCACCAACACACAAAGAAAUUGUUAUGGUACCGAGCUCUAAUUACUGAAAAAGAGACCAAACUUGUGGUAGCCUAUCUCCUGUGUCAUGACCACCCUCGACUGGCAAGGAUGACCCAACACGCACGAGCUCUUCUCAAGCAGUUUAUUCAGGAACCUUGAACAAUCUUCUGACCCCGGGGAAAAGCCCGCACAGGCUUAAGUACUCCUGCACCGACCAACCCUUGAGAGCCAGGUGGGUCCUGCAGAUAGGCCACUCUAUGUAGAAGGAAGCAUGCUGAUCAGGCACAGCCAAAUAAGGACUUGUUUACCUCAAGAGCACUCAACGUUGGGCUGGCGGAAGGCGGAGCAUCGCAGCUCUCUACACUCCUGGAAGGGUCCACCUAAUGGCUGACAAAACAGUAGUGAUGAGAAGGUGGGUGAUAUCAAAAGUUAUGAUGACCUAGGACCUCUGUUUGAGUAAAUGCAUGACUUCACAUAUUCUCCAUUCUUGAGGAGAAAAGCCAAUGUAAGCUCCAGAGCUUACUUCCUGGGCCAAGGUUACCUGACAUGGCCGGUGAGAGAUGAAUCUUUGACCUGGCACUGAUUGGAGGGAUCACAGCAAGACCAAGGCUGUGACAAGCUUAUUGCAAACAAUCAGACUUUUUAUACCUUUCUCAGAAACAGAUCAAUACAAUGGUAGUUGGCAGGAAAGCUGUACAGGGUACACAAGAUUAAUGUCCAGCUGUCCAGCAGAACUUCUAUAUGCUUCAUUGACUUCUAGGGAACACAGAGAAUCUCAGGGUGGCCUGAAUGCUUCACUGACUGAGGGAGUAGUGCCUUGGUUUCUCAGGAACUGAAAGGCACACUGUGGCCCAGGAGCCAUGGACUGUAAUCUGAAAAACCUAUGAUGCAUGCCUCUCAGGGCAGCUAGACCAGGCCAACUCCAUGAUUCACCAGAAGCAAAAACAUGUAUUUUUAGUUUAAAAUGUGUCAGAAUGCAGAAUAUAAGAAUGGAGUUGUGUGAGACUUCUCAGUCCUUGUGAGAAAACUCCAAGAAAACAAGACAAGAGUCUUAUAGCCUCGGUCUCCUCAAAACACAGAACUGUUCUUGGAAUGUGUUUCCAUGUUCCUCCCAGAUGUAGCAGACAGGAGUAGGCUCGCUUCCGCUGUUGUUAUUCAUAUGUCUCUGUGGAAAAACUUUUUUUUUGACAUAUGUGGCUUGUCCUUGUGAUUGAACACCUUACUCAUGUGAGUCUUCCUAACCCUCAGAAUAUAAAUUGCCUGAUGCUCUGAAUAAAUUUGACUAUUGCAUGAAA